GCGACGCCGUGUGAGGGAAGAAGGCUUUCGGGUCGUAAACCUCUGUCAGGAAGGAAGAACCUCUCAAGGCUGAACAAGCCUUGGGACUGACGGUACUUCCAGAGGAAGCACCGGCUAACUCCGUGCCAGCAGCCGCGGUAAUACGGAGGGUGCAAGCGUUAAUCGGAAUCACUGAGCGUAAAGCGCGCGUAGGCCGUCUUUUAAGUCGGACGUGAAAGCCCUCGGCUCAACCGGGGAACUGCGUUCGAUACUGGGAGACUUGAGUGCUGGUGAGUGUGGCGGAAUUCCGGGUGUAGGAGUGAAAUCCGUAGAUAGCCGGAGGAACACCGGUGGCGAAGGCGGGCACCGGGACAGGUACUGA
RNAcentral lists this ribosomal RNA (361 nucleotides) under uncultured bacterium. Its description in RNAcentral is "bacterial SSU rRNA". It matches the Rfam family "Bacterial small subunit ribosomal RNA", at positions 391 to 743 of the family's 1533-position model. The record is from RNAcentral.